CCUACGGGGGGCUGCAGUAGGGAAUUUUCCACAAUGGACGAAAGUCUGAUGGAGCAACACCGCGUGCAGGAUGACGGUCUUCGGAUUGUAAACUGCUUUUAUGAGUGAAGAUUUAAGACGGUAACUCAAGAAUAAGGAUCGGCUAACUACGUGCCAGCAGCCGCGGUCAUACGUAGGAUCCAAGCGUUAUCCGGAAUUACUGGGCGUAAAGAGUUGCGUAGGUGGUUAAUUAAGCAAGAUAUGAAAUCGUACGGCUCAACCGUAUACCCGUAUUUUGAACUGAUCAACUAGAGGAUGAGAGAGGUUAUUGGAAUUUCUUGUGUAGGAGUGAAAUCCGUAGAUAUAAGAAGGAACACCGAUGGCGCAGGCAGAUAACUGGCUCAUACCUGACACUGAGGCACGAAAGCGUGGGGAGCAAACGGGAUUAGAUACCCGUGUAGUC
This 442-nucleotide ribosomal RNA is filed under the name uncultured bacterium. RNAcentral describes it as "bacterial SSU rRNA". It matches the Rfam family "Bacterial small subunit ribosomal RNA", at positions 338 to 795 of the family's 1533-position model. The record is from RNAcentral.